GGCUGUAGCUCAGUGGCAGAGCACUUGCCUAGCAUGUGCAAGGCCCUGGGUUCCAUUCCCAGCACUGCCA
RNAcentral lists this transfer RNA (70 nucleotides) under Heterocephalus glaber (naked mole-rat). It matches the Rfam family "tRNA". From Rfam's summary of the family: Transfer RNA (tRNA) molecules are approximately 80 nucleotides in length. Their secondary structure includes four short double-helical elements and three loops (D, anti-codon, and T loops). Further hydrogen bonds mediate the characteristic L-shaped molecular structure. tRNAs have two regions of fundamental functional importance: the anti-codon, which is responsible for specific mRNA codon recognition, and the 3' end, to which the tRNAs corresponding amino acid is attached (by aminoacyl-tRNA synthetases). tRNAs cope with the degeneracy of the genetic code in two manners: having more than one tRNA (with a specific anti-codon) for a particular amino acid; and 'wobble' base-pairing, i.e. permitting non-standard base-pairing at the 3rd anti-codon position. Lineage: Eukaryota; Metazoa; Chordata; Mammalia; Rodentia; Bathyergidae. The record is from Rfam by way of RNAcentral.